GUGAAUCAUCGAAUUUUUGAACGCAAAUUGCACUCUCCUCGGAGAGUAUGCCUGUUUGAGGGUCGUUAGAACAAAAAUCGAAGCGUCGCUCUUUUUUUUUUAAAGGUUAUCGCUUCGGAAUUGAGCCGUCUUUCAAAUGUUAAUUCAUGUCAAAGUUGCUUUAAAUUCAACCAUCCCGUACGAUUAAAACGUAUUUUAGUUCAACUUUGUUUUAUAACGUC
Molecule: unclassified non-coding RNA, 221 nt
Filed under: Funneliformis mosseae
Lineage: Eukaryota; Fungi; Glomeromycota; Glomeromycetes; Glomerales; Glomeraceae
Description: partial contains 5.8S ribosomal RNA and internal transcribed spacer 2
Rfam family: 5.8S ribosomal RNA (bases 1-65)
Source: RNAcentral